RNAcentral lists this transfer RNA (1389 nucleotides) under Streptomyces lividans. RNAcentral's name for it is "tRNA-glyU beta". The stretch from base 317 to 389 matches the Rfam family "tRNA". The record is from RNAcentral. Lineage: Bacteria; Bacillati; Actinomycetota; Actinomycetes; Kitasatosporales; Streptomycetaceae.
GGCGCGGUGAGCCGUGCGCGAGGUGAGCCGGUGUCCGGCGGGAGCGGCCGACGGCCGCUCAGUCGCCCCUCGCGGCAACCGACUUGCGCGGCACCCCGGGUGAUCAGCUAAAGUCUGGAGCACGCCGAGGGGCGAGGCCGAAAGGCCCAGCUCACGGAACAUGCGGGUGUAGUUCAGUAGUAGAACAUCCCCCUUCCAGGGGGAAGGCGCAGUGUGCAAUUCCUGUCACCCGCUCUGCACCGCCGUACCGAUGGUCCGAUGGGAUCAGGUAGGCUGGUGCUCGCACCGAUCGGUGAACCGCCGGUCGGGAGCAACUGCGGACGUAGCUCAGUUGGUAGAGCGCAACCUUGCCAAGGUUGAGGUCGCGAGUUCGAGCCUCGUCGUCCGCUCGGGAAUCAGACCCCGGUCCUUAGGGCCGGGGUCUUUUCGUGUGUCCGGCCCGGGUGCCCGGCGGCUCUGACAUUUGUCAUGUCCGGUGAUGACGGCUCGCACUGUCGUCCCGCCCGGUGCGCCGGAAUGCUUGAAGCAUGCAAACGAACGAGCACGAACACGUGAUUGAGGUCACCGACCUUCGGCGUGUGUACGGGGGCGGGUUCGAGGCCGUGCGCGGAAUCGACUUCUCCGUGCGCCGCGGUGAGGUCUUCGCCCUGCUCGGCACCAACGGCGCCGGCAAGACGUCGACGGUCGAGCUCCUGGAGGGGCUGGCCGCCCCGGCCGGCGGACGGGUGCGGGUCCUCGGGCACGACCCGUACACCGAGCGGGCCGCCGUGCGCCCCCGCACCGGGGUGAUGCUCCAGGAGGGCGGCUUCCCCUCCGAGCUGACGGUCGCCGAGACGGCACGGAUGUGGGCGGGGUGCGUCAGCGGCGCCCGGCCGCCGGCCGAGGUGCUGGCGCUGGUCGGCCUGGAGGCGAAGUCCGGCACCCGCGUGAAGCAGCUGUCCGGGGGCCAGCGGCGCCGCCUGGACCUGGCGCUCGCGCUGCUCGGCGACCCCGAGGUGCUCUUCCUCGACGAGCCCAGCACCGGCCUGGACGCCGAAGGCCGCCGGGACACCUGGGAGUUGGUGGGCGCGCUGCGCGACCAGGGCACGACCGUGCUGCUGACCACGCACUACCUGGAGGAGGCCGAGCACCUCGCCGACCGGCUCGCGAUCAUGCACGACGGCCGGAUCGCCGCCACCGGCACCCCGGCCGAGGUGACCGCCGCACAGCCGUCCCACAUCUCCUUCGAACUGCCCGACGGCUACUUCGUGGGAGACCUGCCGCCGCUGGCCGAACUGGGCGUCAGCGACCACGAGACCGACGGCCGGACGGUGAAGCUGCGCACCCGGGAACUCCAGCGCGCCGCCACCGGCCUGCUGGUGUGGGCCGCGCAGGCCGCGGUGGAGCUGC